GGCCUUAUGGUCUAGUAGUAUGAUUCCUCGUUUGGGUAACCAAAUCUCGAGGAGGUCCUGGGUUCAACUCCCAGUGAGGCCC
Non-coding RNA from Coprinopsis sp. MPI-PUGE-AT-0042, 82 nucleotides. Lineage: Eukaryota; Fungi; Basidiomycota; Agaricomycetes; Agaricales; Psathyrellaceae. The record is from the annotation of a GenBank genome assembly.